CACUGCUAUUGCACAAGUAUUGGGUUGACAAGAAGUCCAACAAGUGCUUUAUGGUGUAUGCAAGGGAUCUCUCGAUCUCUUGGGCUGAAGACGAUCGUAACUGGCUCUGGCCCUCCCUGCAAGAAACCAGUGGUGUCGUCAUUGAUGCUGCUGAACUGAUUAAUGAAUGUUGGCUAGAAGUGCAUGGAAAAUUUAAAACUACAAAGCUGUCACCAGGAACUCUGUCUGAAGUUGUGUUUGUGGUCAAGCUGAAAUCUUCAGCUGAUGGAUGGGAUGUUCCAGUGAAUGUCAGUCUCACUCUUCCAUGGUAGCAAACAAUGGCAUGAAGUUAAUUUGAUGGAAAUCCCAAGAGAGCAAUGGAUAGAGAUUUCGGUUGGCUAGUUUAGAGCAUCACCUGAAAAACCUGGGGACAUGGAGUUUUCGAUGUAUAAAUAUGAUAGUGGGAAAUGGAAGGGAGGACUUGUUAUCAAGGGUGUUACCAUUCGGCCUAAAAACUAAGUUGCAGAAUACUCUUAACAACUUUGCUUAGGAGCAGAGAUAUGAUUUUCUGGGUUUUUCAUAUGAAGACAGAAAUGAGAGAUGCAUAUGUAAGAAAUGAUCAGAACAGAAUAAUGAAACAAUGAUACAACUCACAUUUUUGCUUUCUCA
Prunus dulcis (almond) is the source of this 648-nucleotide long non-coding RNA. RefSeq lists it as uncharacterized. Lineage: Eukaryota; Viridiplantae; Streptophyta; Magnoliopsida; Rosales; Rosaceae. The record is from RefSeq and is a predicted model, not a curated record. The transcript has 2 exons.